CAAGUCGAGGGGCAUCGCAGUGUAGCAAUACAUGGGCGGCGACCGGCAAACGGGUGCGGAACACGUACGCAACCUUCCCAGAACUGGUGAAUAGCCUUUCGAAAGAGAGAUUAAUACACCGUAACUUAAUGAAGUGGCAUCAUUUUAUUAAUAUAGUUCCGACGGUUCUGGAUGGGCGUGCGCCUGAUUAGGUAGUUGGCGGGGUAACGGCCCACCAAGCCUACGAUCAGUAACUGGUGUGAGAGCACGACCAGUCACACGGGCACUGAGACACGGGCCCGACUCCUACGGGAGGCAGCAGUAAGGAAUAUUGGUCAAUGGACGCAAGUCUGAACCAGCCAUGCCGCGUGGAGGAUGAAGGUCCUCUGGAUUGUAAACUUCUUUUAUCGGAGAAGAAACCCAGACAUUCAUGUUUGGUCGACGGUACCCGAUGAAUAAGCACCGGCUAACUCCGUGCCAGCAGCCGCGGUAAUACGGAGGGUGCAAGCGUUAUCCGGAUUCACUGGGUUUAAAGGGUGCGUAGGUGGGCUAGUAAGUCCGUGGUGAAAUCUCUGAGCUUAACUCGGAAACUGCCGUGGAUACUAUUAGUCUUGAAUCUCGUGGAGGUAAGCGGAAUAUGUCAUGUAGCGGUGAAAUGCUUAGAUAUGACAUAGAACACCGAUAGCGAAGGCAGCUUGCUACACGAGUAUUGACACUGAGGCACGAAAGCGUGGGGAUCAAACAGGAUUAGAUACCCUGGUAGUCCACGCCCUAAACGAUGGAUACUCGACAUACGCGAAACACAGUGUGUGUCUGAGCGAAAGCAUUAAGUAUCCCACCUGGGAAGUACGACCGCAAGGUUGAACUCAAAGGAAUUGGCGGGGGUCCGCACAAGCGGUGGAGCAUGUGG
This 889-nucleotide ribosomal RNA is filed under the name uncultured Flavobacteriia bacterium. RNAcentral's name for it is "bacterial SSU rRNA". It matches the Rfam family "Bacterial small subunit ribosomal RNA", at positions 58 to 944 of the family's 1533-position model. Lineage: Bacteria; Pseudomonadati; Bacteroidota; Flavobacteriia. The record is from RNAcentral.